Xyrauchen texanus (razorback sucker) is the source of this 4889-nucleotide long non-coding RNA. RefSeq lists it as uncharacterized. The record is from RefSeq and is a predicted model, not a curated record. NCBI's taxonomy places the organism in Eukaryota, Metazoa, Chordata, Actinopteri, Cypriniformes, Catostomidae. The transcript is spliced from 8 exons.
CAUAAAUGUGAGAGCCGGAUUAUCCAUAAGGGCACUUGGGCCAGUGCCCAGGGGCACCAACCAUUCACAACCACUAGGGGGGCACCACAUGACACAAGCUUUAAAAAUAUUUUUCGUAAAUUGUUAUAUUAUUAACUUGAAAUUCUUGAAAGACCAUACAUAACUUGUUAAUGAACACUAAUUUAACAAUAAUAAUAAAUUAUAAAUAAAUGAAGAUUACAUGACCACUAUCACUCCCCCCCUCCCCAAUCUGUCAGAGUUGAGUUGGUCCACAACAAGUACGCGCAAAUGUGUCAUUUUUUUAACGGCUACAGAAAAUGAAUCAAAAUCCAAAAUGGAUAGAUGGCAAUUGAGUGGUUUCGCAAAAAGAAGAUUAAAGAAAGAGAAGGAUGCUAGACGUUUAGCUACAAUAAAAAAUGUUCCAGGGAUCGACAAUUUUUUUUGUUAAAUCACUAGUUUUUUGGGAGAACACUGGAAUUGCAGACACCAGCAGCACUAAGUCUGACACCGCUGGCGCUGCUAGCGGGGGAGAUGCAGCAGCUGCUAAUGUUAGUCAGGGCGUCGGCGAUGACCGCCAGGCGAAUGAGGAUAUUCUCCUUGUCCUUGGGGGAGACAGGAGCGAGGAAGACUCGGGUGAGGAAGAGGACAUUAAUGAAGGCUCGGCAAGUGUCCACACUUCAUUCUGAUGGAGAAUGUGAAGGGUUUCGAGACCUCUGCUGCAAGGUAACAGGAAGGCACAAGAGCACAAGAGGGGGAUCACCAUGGUUACGUGGCAUUAAGCCAAUGGGGUCAUGAAUUUACUCUCUGUUGUGCUGUUACCAUGGAUUGUGUUAAUAAGAAUCAUGCCAACAGUUAGUAUCAAACUCUCUUUAAAGGUGAAUUGUGAAAUUUCUAUACCACUGGCACCUUCAAACAUGCAUUUCCUAGCAAUAAUUUCCAUUCCCUUGCAAUGAGUUUUGCAUCGUUUUACUACAGUAAACAUAUUUUAACCAUGAUAUUCUAAAUGAAACCAUAAUAUAAAUACGGGAAAACGAAAAACGUCAUAGUGCUGUGGUUAUUAUGGUUUACCAUAAAUACUAUUGUUUAACUAUAUUUACUGUUGUUGUUUAACCAUGGUAUUUGCAGUAAAACCAUAGUAACCACAAGAUUAACCAUAGUUAACACAAACCAAUUCAGAUAGAAAAUCCCCACCCUGUCCUCUAAGGGGCUCUUUUGUUUUUCUGAACUGAUCUUUAAAUCUACAGGGAUGCUUUGGUUAAGACACUGAGAGAGCAUGUCUACAGCUUUCAGGGGUUUCUGAUUUCACCAACAUCUAAGCAUGUCUUUUUACUUGAACAAUUGGCACUCUAGGAUGCUACUAACUCUUUAAAAACUUGUAAUCUCUUAAAAACGAUUUCUUUGUUUAAUAAAAUCUUUUGUAUUCCUCUCUUGUUUCUAUUCUCAACACCAGAGUAACUACACUUGAAUCAAAGGUUCAGAUCAUAGCACAGGAUUGCUGUAAUCUUCAAAUUUACUCAAGCCUUAUUGCUCAUAUUUAAUGGCCUAUCUGCAACAAUGAGGAGGGCGUGACUGGGCCAUGAGGGGGCACUGCAUGUUUGUCCAUGUGUCAUUAUGUUUUAUGUUGUUUUAAGUUCAGUUAUAUAAUUACUGUUCAGCUGAUUCCCGCUUCUUCCUUUAACUGUUGCAUUGGUGCUGAGUCCCGGGAGGUAGGAGGAAUGCGCUGUCGCAGAGUUCUCGCCACUUCCUUUCACCAAAAGCCACCGAGAACUGGAAGAAGCACUACUGUCCGACGGGGGAGGAGCGAGCUGUCGUCCGCCUGAGGGCGGGGGAGCGGUUGAUGACCGGGCGAUAGCCGGUGACCGGGCCUAACAUGUGCUGUAGAUGUGAAUGAGUGUCAAAUCUUAGCAGGAUCUCCUCUUGGCUGUCAGAACAGGGCCACAUGUGAUGGCAGGGUAAUGGGUACAGCUCCACCCCCCUCAUGGUGCCUUGGUUCAACACUAUGGACUCUUUCCACUGUGGACAGUGUCUUCCAGAAAGUAUUAUCUUGCACUUGUCCAUCUGGUUAUGUGGGUAAUGGAUACAGUCUUACAAGCUGUACACAGAUCAGCGAUAUUUGUGGCACCAGUGUAAAUGUACCUGCCCUUCCAAAUGGACUGGUCAGCAGUGCCAAACUCCACAGCAUGAGUGUGGAGGAGCUCUGGAAUGUCCAGCCAGUAACUUCAGCUACCCCAAUAAUACUGGAACUAGUGACUAUGAUCACCAAGUUAGCUGUGCCUGGAUUGUCAGAACACACCCUAGCAAGAUUCUCCGGAUUACCUUCUCUUUCUUUGACAUCGAGAACAGCGCCUCUUGCAACUUCGAUCCUUGCAGGUCCAUAAUGGUGAAAGUGCCUCAGCCUAUAUGAUUGGGAAAUACUGUGGCACUGCCGCCCAAGCUGAACUCUUCAGCUCGCACAAUUCCUUGAACUUCUGGUUCCACUCUGAACACACAGUCAGUCGUGGCGGCAUCACAGUGUCUUUGGAAUCCUAGCCACCAGUGUGUGGUGGGGGUGCUGACCAAUACUUAUGGUGACUUUAAGUCACCUGGUUACCCAGGUAAAUAUCCUCCUAAUCGGGACUGCUUUGGAUGGUGAACAUGAAACCUGGUCUGCUCAUCUCCUUCACUUUUGGAUCCCUCAGCCUGGAACACUAUAAUGACUGUAACUUUGACUACCUGGAGGUACUACCUCGAGUCUCAAGCUCCGAGCCCUCCAGUAUAUGGACAUUAAGCCAAAUACUUUACUUCUUCAACAUAAGAUUACAUUCACAUACGAACUACUGAAACAUAUUAGAAUAUGGGAUACAUAUCAGACAGGGAUAAAUGAAAAAGAGUAUACGAUUUGUACUGCAAAACCUGUCAAGAAAGUGUCCUGGUCCUAUUUUCACCCAUAAGAAUUAAUAUUUUCCAUAUAGAAAAAGAAUGAAGCUUUCUUUUUUAGGGCCAUUAAGAUUUUUUUUACAGUGUGACUUUAUUUUCAUAACAGUUAGGCACAUUUAUAGCCCCUGAUUCUCAUUCUAGCGAUGGAAAAAAUCCAUCUCCCAAAGGACACAUCAUAGUCUAAGAGACCUGAUUUUAGUCAUAACUAAAUUUUGACAAAAUGUGGAGUUACUGUGUUUUGCCUUUGAAUGGUACCUAUGUGUGUUUCUGUAUCCUGAAUGCAGUUUGGUUUUAGGGCACUAAUUCCUUGUAUACACAUUGCAAAUGUUAAUAAUGUAAUGUAAUAGUUAUGCAUUUCCCGUAAUUCCAGAGGCUGAAUUAUAGCUGAACAUAUAAUUUAAAUGGCUCCAUUAAUGGAAUAUUUAAAAGCACUCAGCUAAUAAAGCAGUUUAUUGGAGUUAUCCUGAUGUCAAAAUGUUGGUUAGCCUAUUUACCUUCUUUAUUCAGGCACUGUGGAUGGUCUGUUAGACUGAUAGUCUGAUAACCAUCCUGCUUGUCUCUGACUCCUGUCUGGAGAAAGCUUUUCAGCCAACUACUGUAUGUCUCAAUCAAUGCCACAACAGUUAGAAUUUUAUUAUGCCACCGGAUACGAGAAUCCAAUUUGAAAAAGCCAUGAAACUACAGCUAGAGAAGCUAGUAUUUGGCUUCAACAGCAGUAUUACAACAAGAAGACAUCUGCACACUUAAGAAAGCGGGUGUGUUUUGAGGGUGUGGAAAGAGCUGGGUCAGUUUAAAAUCAAGUGAGAAUACAGAAAAUUGGAUUUCCGAAAAUACAUAUGGACCUGCCUCUCUGAAAUUCCAAUUGGUUUAACAGAUGUUCAUUUUGGUUUGCAUGACAGAGCGUCAUCACAAAUUGAAAUGAAUGCAUUUUUGUUUUUCUUGUUUUCCAGUAAAAGUAUCUAAACAUCCUUAACCUCUUGAUAUGCAAUCGCUCGCACUCGGGAGUGACGUCACUCUGCUUACAUGUAAUAUAUAAUUUACUUUCUAAAUGUAAUUAAUGUUAACAAUUUAUACAUCUUUUCAAAGGUCUAAGGGUUCAACAUUGAUAUCAAUCUCUGUUUCAUGAUAGCAAUGCUCCAGAAACAACAAUUUAGUUAUUUGUGCCAGAAGUACAAAUGAAAACAUGCAAUAUCAAAACGGGACUUCAUACCUUUGUUAUGAAGACGCGAUCGCCAGAUGAAUCCAGUUAGCCACACUUGGGUCAACUGUCCAUGACAAGCGUUCAUUGAAAAACAUCCAAUAUCACUUUUUGUCCAUAAAAGUGAUAAAUCUGUGAAAUAUUGAUAUAUUCUCCAUUGUUUACAUGAGAUCUCACCUGAAAGAAUUACACUUCAUCAUCGUUCUUCAACAGACUAUGCAAUCUGAGCAGCAUUCAUGUUGUAAAACUGUAUAUGAUUUAUAUAUAUAUUAUAGUCUCGAAAACAAAACAAGCCUGUUUCCAAAGUCUCAUUUUUGUGUUGUCUUGAAAGGCUGAGCCUUCAUUUUACUCUGUACACCACCAGUGAUUUUACAGAGAAAAAAGCUUGCAGGAACCUCAUUUUUUGUUAGAUCAUCUUCAAAUUUGAAACAAAGCUUCUUUAGACUUGUGGCUUAGAGAAUAUUGUAUUUAUGGGUUGUCUUGGCACUUUUAUUAUUGUUGUUUUAGAUUAUAAAAACAUGUUCAGCAUAAAAUAUUUCCAUUACUAUAAACUUCAGCUUUAACAAAUAACAACAUAUAUUAAUUCUGAAACUUGGGAAAUAAAGCCCAAAGUGUCUUUCACAAGAUACUACAACUGUGUCCAUACUCCAAAGGGUUCAGUAAAUACAACCAUUUAAGUUCAUGUAUGUCAUUUUCAUGGUUUGUGCUCAAAAAGGGGGUGUGUAUCAACAGGUUAAAACAAAUCAAAAAGAUUUUGAAAUAUUUAUGCUUGAAU